GUCCGCACCGUAAACGAUGGAUACUAGGUGUCCGGCCUUUCGGGGCUGGGUGCCCAAGGGAAACCGAUAAGUAUCCCACCUGGGGAGUACGUCCGCAAGGAUGAAACUCAAAGGAAUUGACGGGGGCCCGCACAAGCGGUGGAGCAUGUGGUUUAAUUCGAUGAUACGCGAGGAACCUUACCUGGGCUAGAAUGCCCCUGACAGCCUUGGAAACAGGGUUUUCCUUCGGGACAGGGAGCAAGGUGCUGCAUGGCUGUCGU
Molecule: ribosomal RNA, 260 nt
Filed under: uncultured bacterium
Lineage: Bacteria
Description: partial 16S ribosomal RNA
Rfam family: Bacterial small subunit ribosomal RNA
Source: RNAcentral